RNAcentral lists this ribosomal RNA (613 nucleotides) under uncultured bacterium. RNAcentral describes it as "bacterial SSU rRNA". It matches the Rfam family "Bacterial small subunit ribosomal RNA", at positions 338 to 951 of the family's 1533-position model. The record is from RNAcentral.
CCUACGGGAGGCAGCAGUAAGGAAUAUUGGUCAAUGGAGGGAACUCUGAACCAGCCAUCCCGCGUGCAGGACGAAGGCCCUCUGGGUUGUAAACUGCUUUUACCAGGAAAGAAACGAGUGGUCUUGACCGCUCCUGACGGUACCUGGGGAAUAAGCACCGGCUAACUCCGUGCCAGCAGCCGCGGUAAUACGGAGGGUGCGAGCGUUAUCCGGAAUCACUGGGUUUAAAGGGUGCGUAGGCGGCUUGAUAAGUCAGGGGUGAAAGCUCACCGCUCAACGGUGGAACUGCCCUUGAUACUGUCAGGCUCGAAUUGGGUUGAGGCAGGCGGAAUGUGGCAUGUAGCGGUGAAAUGCUUAGAUAUGCCAUAGAACACCGAUUGCGAAGGCAGCCUGCCAAGCCUUGAUUGACGCUGAGGCACGAAAGCGUGGGGAGCGGAACAGGAUUAGAUACCCUGGUAGUCCACGCCCUAAACGAUGCUUACUCGACGUCCGGCCCUCGAGGCCGUGCGUCCAGCGAAGCGUUAAGAGCCACCUGGGGAGUACGCCGGCAACGGUGAAACGUUCAAAUUGAAUUGCGGCGNGNGACGNGCGACGGCGACGACGAGGGAGGAGG